This is a long non-coding RNA of Dermacentor albipictus, 1293 nucleotides long. RefSeq lists it as uncharacterized. NCBI's taxonomy places the organism in Eukaryota, Metazoa, Arthropoda, Arachnida, Ixodida, Ixodidae. The record is from RefSeq and is a predicted model, not a curated record.
GGGCCCGUUUUGACACGGGCGUCAAAAGAAGAGGUUGGAGGAGCCGUGUCACUUAACAAAGCCGCGCGUUCUUUGCCACUUGCUCGAAGUCAGCCCGCCCGAUCUUGUGAAUCCACACUUUUCUUCGUUUUGCGUUGCGCCCGGCGGAUGGUAAAACAAAAAGCUUUUUGCCGUCACUGGGUCUGUUGUGGCAACCGUAGGCGCAGCAGCACGGCAUCGCAAUUAAGCACUCGGCCCUAACACAUUGUAUAAAACUACCGCGCUCCUUCAAACCGCCUGCCGUACUUCGUCGCGGAGGCCCAAAAAUGGGGGUCGCAGGCCCAAGAUUGGGGGUCGCAGCGCGCUGGAAAGAAAAGAUAUACAAAAGUGCGGCGCCUGCUCUGCGCCGGAAAGAAAAAAAUAUACAAAAGCGCGGGGCCCGCUUUCACGUGACACAGAUUGGCCAAUGGGGGAGCGGAGGAGGCUGGGGCGACAGGAGGAGUGGAGGAGGAAGCGCCUGGGUGAGCGGGGUGGCGGAAAGAUCUAAGAAUGGCGCUACUUUUGGAAAAUUGAGGGGCUUUACAUAGUGUCAGCCGGCAGCGCCACUGGCGGCAAAAUUUGGUGAAUAAGAGAGGGCGACAGGAAAGGGGUCGCAGGGCGACGGGGAGCCCUUCUGCCGGGCAUUGAAAAAAUAGAGGAGGCGCUGGUUGGGGGUGAAUGCGAAGUGGACGCGUUGACAACGUAGGGGAGCAUGGCGCCUCGUCGCGUGGUUGUGAAAACCGGGUCCAGGAAAGGCAAUUCGCCGUAUUGCUGCGUUUAAGGCUGUCACAAAAGCUACAGGAACACUGCUGGAAAAUUGCCGCCGAUCAAAUUCUACCGUUUUCCUUGGAAAUCGUAUGAGACUGAAAGAAGACAGAGGUGGAUCGCAGCUGUCCGCCGAGCAAGCUCAGAGGGAGAGCUGUGGCAACUGAAAAGGAAUGAAACGCGAAUAUGCAGUGUUCACUUCGUGGGAAACGAGAGAAGCAACAUCGCUCAGCACCCAGCGUACAGUCCAACAAUAUUUCCACCUGGCUACAAAACAUGUCUCAGUUAAAACAAGUCACAUGUAUUUAAAAUUAGAAGUGUAUGUUAAUAAAAAAUCAAACCUCCUCACGGCAGCCUGGCCCUUGGUGAUUUCGGCAAUCUCCAAUAUUUGAUCAAUGUUUUUUUGACGAAUUGUUUGUAGAAAUCUUUUUCAGGGAUAGGCAUCUUUGAGACCAUGUUUUCACUUUUCAGAAUAAAAGGAGAGGUCGAAGUGACCUUUAGCGCACUGUG